GUGCCUUCGGGAGCUCUGAGACAGGUGCUGCAUGGCUGUCGUCAGCUCGUGUUGUGAAAUGUUGGGUUAAGUCCCGCAACGAGCGCAACCCUUAUCCUUGUUUGCCAGCACUUCGGGUGGGAACUCCAGGGAGACUGCCGGUGAUAAACCGGAGGAAGGUGGGGACGACGUCAAGUCAUCAUGGCCCUUACGAGUAGGGCUACACACGUGCUACAAUGGCGCAUACAGAGGGCAGCCAACUUGCGAAAGUGAGCGAAUCCCAAAAAGUGCGUCGUAGUCCGGAUUGGAGUCUGCAACUCGACUCCAUGAAGUCGGAAUCGCUAGUAAUCGUGGAUCAGAAUGCCACGGUGAAUACGUUCCCGGGCCUUGUACACACCGCCCGUCACACCAUGGGAGUGGGCUGCAAAAGAAGUGGGUAGUUUAACCUUCGGGGGGACGCUCACCACUUUGUGGUUCAUGACUGGGGUGAAGUCGUAACAAGGUAGCGCUAGGGGAACCUGGCGCUGGAUCACCUCCUUA
RNAcentral lists this ribosomal RNA (519 nucleotides) under Vibrio sinaloensis DSM 21326. Its description in RNAcentral is "bacterial SSU rRNA". It matches the Rfam family "Bacterial small subunit ribosomal RNA", at positions 1014 to 1533 of the family's 1533-position model. Lineage: Bacteria; Pseudomonadati; Pseudomonadota; Gammaproteobacteria; Vibrionales; Vibrionaceae. The record is from RNAcentral.